AGAGUUUGAUCCUGGCUCAGGACGAACGCUGGCGGCGUGCCUAAUACAUGCAAGUAGAACGCUGAAGAGAGGAGCUUGCUCUUCUUGGAUGAGUUGCGAACGGGUGAGUAACGCGUAGGUAACCUGCCUUGUAGCGGGGGAUAACUAUUGGAAACGAUAGCUAAUACCGCAUAACAAUGGAUGACCCAUGUCAUUUAUUUGAAAGGGGCAAAUGCUCCACUACAAGAUGGACCUGCGUUGUAUUAGCUAGUAGGUGAGGUAACGGCUCACCUAGGCGACGAUACAUAGCCGACCUGAGAGGGUGAUCGGCCACACUGGGACUGAGACACGGCCCAGACUCCUACGGGAGGCAGCAGUAGGGAAUCUUCGGCAAUGGGGGCAACCCUGACCGAGCAACGCCGCGUGAGUGAAGAAGGUUUUCGGAUCGUAAAGCUCUGUUGUAAGUCAAGAACGAGUGUGAGAGUGGAAAGUUCACACUGUGACGGUAGCUUACCAGAAAGGGACGGCUAACUACGUGCCAGCAGCCGCGGUAAUACGUAGGUCCCGAGCGUUGUCCGGAUUUAUUGGGCGUAAAGCGAGCGCAGGCGGUUUGAUAAGUCUGAAGUUAAAGGCUGUGGCUCAACCAUAGUUCGCUUUGGAAACUGUCAAACUUGAGUGCAGAAGGGGAGAGUGGAAUUCCAUGUGUAGCGGUGAAAUGCGUAGAUAUAUGGAGGAACACCGGUGGCGAAAGCGGCUCUCUGGUCUGUAACUGACGCUGAGGCUCGAAAGCGUGGGGAGCGAGCAGGAUUAGAUACCCUGGUAGUCCACGCCGUAAACGAUGAGUGCUAGGUGUUGGAUCCUUUCCGGGAUUCAGUGCCGCAGCUAACGCAUUAAGCACUCCGCCUGGGGAGUACGACCGCAAGGUUGAAACUCAAAGGAAUUGACGGGGGCCCGCACAAGCGGUGGAGCAUGUGGUUUAAUUCGAAGCAACGCGAAGAACCUUACCAGGUCUUGACAUCCCGAUGCUAUUUCUAGAGAUAGAAAGUUACUUCGGUACAUCGGUGACAGGUGGUGCAUGGUUGUCGUCAGCUCGUGUCGUGAGAUGUUGGGUUAAGUCCCGCAACGAGCGCAACCCCUAUUGUUAGUUGCCAUCAUUCAGUUGGGCACUCUAGCGAGACUGCCGGUAAUAAACCGGAGGAAGGUGGGGAUGACGUCAAAUCAUCAUGCCCCUUAUGACCUGGGCUACACACGUGCUACAAUGGUUGGUACAACGAGUUGCGAGUCGGUGACGGCAAGCUAAUCUCUUAAAGCCAAUCUCAGUUCGGAUUGUAGGCUGCAACUCGCCUACAUGAAGUCGGAAUCGCUAGUAAUCGCGGAUCAGCACGCCGCGGUGAAUACGUUCCCGGGCCUUGUACACACCGCCCGUCACACCACGAGAGUUUGUAACACCCGAAGUCGGUGAGGUAACCUUUUGGAGCCAGCCGCCUAAGGUGGGAUAGAUGAUUGGGGUGAAGUCGUAACAAGGUA
Molecule: ribosomal RNA, 1506 nt
Filed under: metagenome
Description: bacterial SSU rRNA
Rfam family: Bacterial small subunit ribosomal RNA
Source: RNAcentral